This is a long non-coding RNA of Triticum dicoccoides, 861 nucleotides long. RefSeq lists it as uncharacterized. The record is from RefSeq and is a predicted model, not a curated record. The transcript is spliced from 2 exons. NCBI's taxonomy places the organism in Eukaryota, Viridiplantae, Streptophyta, Magnoliopsida, Poales, Poaceae.
GGCACGCACGAAGACGCCACGCUGUUGCUGCUACUCCUCACCUCGCCCUUAGAUCGGAAUUGAAGUCGUUGCGGAGGGAUGGAGGCACGCAUGCAUCGUGACCUAGGCAGACGAGCCACCAGGAGGGGAUCCGUGCCGGAUGGCUGCUGACGCGCGCGCCUCUCCCUUGAUCCCCUUUCAUCUCGAUGGCGGGACAGCAAGGCACGGCGGUGGCCGGUGGUGGACGAGACAUUCAGCCUUUUCAGCUAUGCAGUCGACCAUCAAGUAUUGACUGUCAUAACUUCAGGUUACUUUGAUAAACUGAUUUCUGCACAAUGGUACUGAUGUGCAGUGUACUCGACGUAGAGUGGUGUUUUCAUAUUGCUGGCAUAGGAGUACUAUCAAUGCGAGCUUCAGUUACAAUGGCAACAUAUGACCGAAUGUCCAUGUAUCGAAAUGUAUGUUAUAGCUGAUAUUAAGAGCAACUGUCCAAUAUUAUUUGUUGUAUAUUCUGAUCUAUGAUCAAAAUUUGUAUUGUGGGCAACAACACGACAACGCUACUGGUUGGGCUGAAGGAACUGGCAAAGUUGUUUAAUGGUGAUAUCAUUGUGGAGUUGGACUGCUUGUCGCUGGUGCAGGCACUUGAACCUCAAACGGUUAACAAGUCCAGGCUGUUCUCUGUUACUUGUGACAUCAAGGAGGCUUUGAAGCACUUCAAAUCCCACCAGAUUAAUUGGGUCUGUAGGGACCAAAGCAAGUUUGCUCACUGUCUUGCCGAUUGGGCCAGUAGAUAAGGUGUUCAGAGAGCUUUUCCAAGCUGAAUGUAAUCCGGGUGUAUGAUCAUUGUUCUCAAAUAUUAUUUUGUGUUAUGGGCAGAUGGAA